Molecule: ribosomal RNA, 451 nt
Filed under: uncultured bacterium
Lineage: Bacteria
Description: partial 16S ribosomal RNA
Rfam family: Bacterial small subunit ribosomal RNA
Source: RNAcentral
GUGGGGAAUAUUGGACAAUGGGCGCAAGCCUGAUCCAGCCAUGCCGCGUGUGUGAAGAAGGCCUUUUGGUUGUAAAGCACUUUAAGCGAGGAGGAGGCUCCUUUAGUUAAUACCUAAAGAGAGUGGACGUUACUCGCAGAAUAAGCACCGGCUAACUCUGUGCCAGCAGCCGCGGUAAUACAGAGGGUGCGAGCGUUAAUCGGAUUUACUGGGCGUAAAGCGUGCGUAGGCGGCUUUUUAAGUCGGAUGUGAAAUCCCUGAGCUUAACUUAGGAAUUGCAUUCGAUACUGGAAAGCUAGAGUAUGGGAGAGGAUGGUAGAAUUCCAGGUGUAGCGGUGAAAUGCGUAGAGAUCUGGAGGAAUACCGAUGGCGAAGGCAGCCAUCUGGCCUAAUACUGUCGCUGAGGUACGAAAGCAUGGGGAGCAAACAGGAUUAGAUACCCUGGUAGUCC